Rattus norvegicus (Norway rat) is the source of this 1137-nucleotide non-coding RNA. Lineage: Eukaryota; Metazoa; Chordata; Mammalia; Rodentia; Muridae. The record is from RefSeq and is a predicted model, not a curated record.
GAUGUAUAUGUCUUUCGUGUCCAUUUCUCCAGAAAUACUUGCUGUUUGCACGUUAGAAUUCAGGUGAUGCUAUCUUCAUACUACACUGUCUAUCAUUAUUACAGUUUAUUCUUCCUUUCUUUACAUUCUUUUAAAACAGGAUGUGGGGACUGGAGGGAUGGCUCACUGGGUAAGAGCUGACACUGCUUAUAAAGAGGACCAGAGCUCAGUUCCCAGAGCCAUGUAGUUCGCUCACAGCCAUCUCUAGCGCCAGCUUCAGGUUAUCAACAGGUCUGGACUCUGUGGGCACAAAUGUUCGCACACCCACACGCAGAGAUGCCCACAUACACAUAAUUAAAAAUAAAAUCUUUAAAAACAAAACCAAAAAAGAAGCAGACGUGAUUUUCUCUUUGUCAAUAGAUUCUCUAAGAUGUUUAUUACAUUCAGUACUUUCCUGUGAGCAAUGUUAAAUAAUGCAUCUGUUUAUUUCUUAAUUUUUAUUUUUUAAAUUUAUAUAUGUAUAAUAUAAACUUAAUUUUGUUUCCACACAUUUGACAAUUUUAUCUUUUUCUUUAAUUUCUAAUUUAAUUUCAUUGUGCUGUAUUUAAUUGGCUCUUUAUAAAUUCAUUGCUAUUCAUUUUAUAUUAAAAAUAAUUUUCACAUUGAUAAACUAUUGUGUGACCAUUAAAAUAAUGUGCGGCCCUCUAUUAUUGAGGUUAGUAUUCUAUCGUUGUCUACAGUCAAUUUUGAUUAAUAGAAUUGCUCAUAACUCCAAUAAUUUUAUUCAGUUUACGUAUUGUUCUCUCAAUUAUUGAGAAAGCUAUUAAAAUCAUUGGCCAUUCUCUUUUUAUUUCUUUUAUUUUAAUUUUUGUUCUAAUGAGAAUCAAGUCCUGGCUAUGGAGCAAAUUGAACAAGAAGUCUACCACGGAGAGACAUCCAUGGUCUAAAUCUUUGAGCCCAAGAAUGUCUGUAAUUUAACCAGGAUGUUUAGAGAAUAAGAAAUUUACUUAUUUUUAAAAAAUCCAAAUGCUGGCAUGUGCGGCCCUCUAUUAAUGAGUUUUUGUUCUAAUGAGAAUCAAGUCCUGGCUAUGGAGCAAAUUGAACAAGAAGUCUACCAUGGAGAGACAUCCAUGGUCUAAAUCUUUGAGGUUAGUUGUA